Molecule: ribosomal RNA, 437 nt
Filed under: uncultured bacterium
Lineage: Bacteria
Description: partial 16S ribosomal RNA
Rfam family: Bacterial small subunit ribosomal RNA
Source: RNAcentral
GAUGAACGCUGGCGGCAUGCCUAACACAUGCCAGUCGGGCGGGCGGUCGUGUUUCCUGUUUCUCACGUGUUAGUAACGCGUAAGAACGUACCCCGUGGAUGGGAACAACAUCUGGAAACGGCUGCUAAUACCCCCCGGGCCUAGUAGCAAAAGAUGUAAUGCGCCCGAUGAGUGGCUCGCGUCUGAUUAUCUAGUUGUCGCUGCUAUAGCUUACCAAGGCGAUGAUCAGUAGAUGUUCCGAGAGGAUGAUCAGCCACACUGCGACUGAGACACGGAGCAGACUACUACGGGAGGCAGGCGAGGGGAAUUCUCAGCAAUGGGCGAAAGGCUGACGGAGCCAUGCGGCGGGGAGGUAGAAGGACUACGGGUCGAGAACUUCUUAUGCCGCAGAAGAAGCAAUGACGGUAUCUGGGGAAUAAGCAUCGGCUAACUCUGUG